UACAGAGGGUGCAAGCGUUGUUCGGAAUUAUUGGGCGUAAAGGGCGCGUAGGCGGUGCGGUAAGUCUUUUGUGAAAUCUCCGGGCUCAACUCGGAGUCUGCAGGAGAAACUGCCGUGCUUGAGUAUGGGAGAGGUGAGUGGAAUUCCUGGUGUAGCGGUGAAAUGCGUAGAUAUCAGGAGGAACACCUGUGGCGAAAGCGGCUCACUGGACCAUAACUGACGCUGAGGCGCGAAAGCUAGGGGAGCAAACAGG
This 253-nucleotide ribosomal RNA is filed under the name uncultured prokaryote. RNAcentral's name for it is "partial 16S ribosomal RNA". It matches the Rfam family "Bacterial small subunit ribosomal RNA", at positions 524 to 776 of the family's 1533-position model. The record is from RNAcentral.